GACAGAGGGGGCAAGCGUUGCUCGGAAUCACUGGGCGUAAAGGGCGCGUAGGCGGGAUGGCAAGUCGGUCGUGAAAUCCUUCGGCUCAACCGAAGAACGUCGGCCGAUACUGCCGUUCUUGAGGGAUGCAGAGGAGAUUGGAAUUCCCGGUGUAGCGGUGAAAUGUGUAGAGAUCGGGAGGAACACCGGUGGCGAAGGCGGGUCUCUGGGCAUUUCCUGACGCUGAGGCGCGAAAGCUAGGGGAGCAAACAGG
RNAcentral lists this ribosomal RNA (253 nucleotides) under uncultured bacterium. Its description in RNAcentral is "partial 16S ribosomal RNA". It matches the Rfam family "Bacterial small subunit ribosomal RNA", at positions 524 to 776 of the family's 1533-position model. The record is from RNAcentral.